Molecule: ribosomal RNA, 112 nt
Filed under: Caerostris darwini
Lineage: Eukaryota; Metazoa; Arthropoda; Arachnida; Araneae; Araneidae
Source: RNAcentral
AACGGCCGUACCAUGCUGAAUAUACCGGUUCUCGUUAGAUCACCAAAGUUAAGCAUCAUUGGGCGCGGUCAGUACUUGGGUGGGUGACCACCUGGGAACACUGCGUGCCGUU